CAAAUGGUCCUUUUCAGGACCACAAAAAAAAUAGUUCCACCAAGGG
Aedes aegypti (yellow fever mosquito) is the source of this 46-nucleotide non-coding RNA. NCBI's taxonomy places the organism in Eukaryota, Metazoa, Arthropoda, Insecta, Diptera, Culicidae. The record is from Rfam.